GCAGUAGUGAGCACAAAUACGUCGAUCUGCGCGCCGGUGUGGCUUAUGUUUACUUUUGCUGUGGUUUGAUUGUAACAACAAACAUAGCUAGAAGCGUUUAUUAAAACAAUUCCAUAGAUGACAGAAGGCGGAUUUUAUUCAUUAAUAAAAUGAUAAAUCAAAGCAGUAAUUCUGAAAUGCCCAUCUCUGUUAUUGUCAUGUCGGAACAGUGAUUAAAUCACAAGAGAGCGUUUCUGUAAGACCGUUAGAAUGGAGCUCGUAUUUACAGAACGUGCGAUACCGGCUUACCUCUGUGCUAACAGAGAGGGGUAUAUCUCCA
Non-coding RNA from Pelobates cultripes (western spadefoot toad), 319 nucleotides. The record is from the annotation of a GenBank genome assembly. Lineage: Eukaryota; Metazoa; Chordata; Amphibia; Anura; Pelobatidae.